GACGAACGCUGGCGGCGUGCUUAACACAUGCAAGUCGAACGAAGUGGCGAACGGGUGAGUAACGCGUAAUCAACCUGCCCUUCAGCGGGGGACAACAGUUGGCAACGACUGCUAAUACUGCAUUCUGAAGGUGGGGCUUCCGUCUGAUUAGCUAGUUGGAGGGGUAACGGCCCACCAAGGCGAAGAUCAGUAGCCGGUCUGAGAGGAUGAACGGCCACAUUGGGACUGGGACACGGCCCAGACUCCUACGGGAGGCAGCAUGGGGGAAUCUUCCGCAAUGGAAGAAAGUCUGACGGAGCAACGCCGCGUGAGUGAUGACGGCCUUCGGGUUGUAAAGCUCUGUUAAUCGGGACGCGGUACCGGAAUAGAAAGCCACGGCUAACUACGUGCCAGCAGCCGCGGUAAUUC
RNAcentral lists this ribosomal RNA (408 nucleotides) under uncultured bacterium. RNAcentral's name for it is "partial 16S ribosomal RNA". It matches the Rfam family "Bacterial small subunit ribosomal RNA", at positions 28 to 526 of the family's 1533-position model. The record is from RNAcentral.